This 576-nucleotide ribosomal RNA is filed under the name uncultured bacterium. Its description in RNAcentral is "bacterial SSU rRNA". It matches the Rfam family "Bacterial small subunit ribosomal RNA", at positions 102 to 674 of the family's 1533-position model. The record is from RNAcentral.
ACGGGUGAGUAAUAUAUCGGAACGUACCCUGGAGUGGGGGAUAACGUAGCGAAAGUUACGCUAAUACCGCAUACGAUCUAAGGAUGAAAGUGGGGGAUCGCAAGACCUCAUGCUCCUGGAGCGGCCGAUAUCUGAUUAGCUAGUUGGUGGGGUAAAGGCCUACCAAGGCAUCGAUCAGUAGCUGGUCUGAGAGGACGACCAGCCACACUGGAACUGAGACACGGUCCAGACUCCUACGGGAGGCAGCAGUGGGGAAUUUUGGACAAUGGGCGCAAGCCUGAUCCAGCAAUGCCGCGUGAGUGAAGAAGGCCUUCGGGUUGUAAAGCUCUUUUGUCAGGGAAGAAACGGUGAAGGCUAAUAUCCUUUGCUAAUGACGGUACCUGAAGAAUAAGCACCGGCUAACUACGUGCCAGCAGCCGCGGUAAUACGUAGGGUGCAAGCGUUAAUCGGAAUUACUGGGCGUAAAGCGUGCGCAGGCGGUUUUGUAAGUCUGUCGUGAAAUCCCCGGGCUCAACCUGGGAAUUGCGAUGGAGACUGCAAGGCUAGAAUCUGGCAGAGGGGGGUAGAAUUCCACGU